This 72-nucleotide transfer RNA is filed under the name Rosellinia necatrix. RNAcentral describes it as "tRNA-Cys". It matches the Rfam family "tRNA". Rfam says of the family: Transfer RNA (tRNA) molecules are approximately 80 nucleotides in length. Their secondary structure includes four short double-helical elements and three loops (D, anti-codon, and T loops). Further hydrogen bonds mediate the characteristic L-shaped molecular structure. tRNAs have two regions of fundamental functional importance: the anti-codon, which is responsible for specific mRNA codon recognition, and the 3' end, to which the tRNAs corresponding amino acid is attached (by aminoacyl-tRNA synthetases). tRNAs cope with the degeneracy of the genetic code in two manners: having more than one tRNA (with a specific anti-codon) for a particular amino acid; and 'wobble' base-pairing, i.e. permitting non-standard base-pairing at the 3rd anti-codon position. The record is from RNAcentral. Lineage: Eukaryota; Fungi; Ascomycota; Sordariomycetes; Xylariales; Xylariaceae.
GCACUGAUAGCUCAGCGGUAGAGCAAUCGGCUGCAGUCCGAUAGGUCCUCGGUUCAAGUCCGGGUCAGUGCU